CCGGUCUUGUGCUUGGAGUCGCCAUUUUGCCGCUAGAGAUGCUGUCUGAAGACCAGUGCUCUCUUCCUUCAGCGGCGUAGGCUGCGUCGGGGCCUGAGCUGGGGUCUGGGCCAGCUUCUUUGAGGACAAGCUGAUGAUCGUUGAAUGAGAAAAGAGAAAACAGAAAGAGGAGACACCAGGCUUUUGUCCUGAGUCCUGCCUGUAUACAAG
RNAcentral lists this long non-coding RNA (210 nucleotides) under Cavia porcellus (domestic guinea pig). RNAcentral's name for it is "lncRNA (ENSCPOG00000036910.1)". Lineage: Eukaryota; Metazoa; Chordata; Mammalia; Rodentia; Caviidae. The record is from RNAcentral.